UGUCACUACAGACUCAGUGGGUCGUCGCCCUCACACCUUCUCUGUGAAGCUGCUCACUGACAGCUGACAGCAGAUGAAAAUAACAACUGCUGGUCACUUUUUGCGAAAAAAGGAAGUUGAUGGCAUGUCAGUAGUUUUGUUUGCCAGAGAUUGUACUGCUGGCAACCAUGGCAGCAAGUUUGGAGAUUUCUUGACAAUUGCAACAAUACUGGGAACUGGAAUCUUAGGUCUUCCAGUGACAAUAGCCCACGCUGGACUGGUGCCUUUCCUUGUCUCGUUUCUUGUUGGCUUCUUUGUUCAGGCCUUGCUUAUCUACCUGUUUGUCGAACUUCUUCAGAAAUGUCAGGUGGUGCAGCUGGAAUCUCUGAAGACAGGUGUUGCAGAGUGUAUUGUCAUGGAUCAGGUGGGUGUGGAGGCUCCAUCACCCACAGAGGAAGAGGACGAGGAUGAUUCGAGUGAAAAUGCAGAAGCAGACACAGGUCUACUUCAGCCUGAUGCAGUAUCUUUGCACAACCAAGCAGAGAACCUGGAGCCCAACCUUCAUCUGCUCGGCCACCUCUUCCUCUCCCGGCCAAUGAGUCAUGCCUUCAACUGCAUCCUCCUCUUCCAGUUUAUUUCUAUUGGAAUAAGUUAUGUCUUAGCCGGCAGUGAGGCCUACGCUGCUCUUCUUAAUAUCAGCCACAUCUACGUCAUCCCGGUGUUCACCUGGAUCCUAACUCUUGCCAUCUUACUGGCCCACACAGUCAUCCAGCCAGUCACGUCGCUGCUCACCCUGCUGAAAGGGAUCCUGCUCAUUGUCACGGUGGCUGUGACAUUCGCGGUGGGGUCAGAGGUCGGCCUUCAAAGCAGCAGUGACUUCAGGCAGAUGGGGAAACCUUUCCUAAUGGGCACGGUGGCUCUGGGAGGGAUCGUAAACGUGAUGCCUCUGCUCUUCUCACAGAUCUCACACAACAAAACACAGAUCCUUUGGUUUCGGAGAGCAGUGCUCGGAGGUCUGACAACCUGUACUGUGCUCAACAUCCUCUGGUGCUGGGCGGUGCUGGAAAUCGUCCCCCAGACGUCGUUAUCAGAAAGGCGGACGCCGGCUGAGACGAUGACCCAUCCCGACUCCAGCAUCCCGCCUGGUCCUCCUUCGUCCGUCUCUCCUCUGCUGUACUCCAACAUCUCACUGGAAGAGUGA
This 1180-nucleotide long non-coding RNA is filed under the name Sparus aurata (gilthead seabream). RNAcentral's name for it is "lncRNA (ENSSAUG00010008027.1)". Lineage: Eukaryota; Metazoa; Chordata; Actinopteri; Spariformes; Sparidae. The record is from RNAcentral.